RNAcentral lists this ribosomal RNA (203 nucleotides) under uncultured bacterium. RNAcentral describes it as "partial 16S ribosomal RNA". It matches the Rfam family "Bacterial small subunit ribosomal RNA", at positions 161 to 353 of the family's 1533-position model. The record is from RNAcentral.
AGCUAAUAACCGCAUAACAAUGGAUGACACAUGUCAUUUAUUUUGUAAAGGGGGCAAUUGCUCCACUACAAGAUGGACCUGCGUUGUAUUAGCUAGUAGGUGAGGUAAUGGCUCACCUAGGCGACGAUACAUAGCCGACCUGAGAGGGUGAUCGGCCACACUGGGACUGAGACACGGCCCAGACUCCUACGGGAGGCAGCAUG